RNAcentral lists this ribosomal RNA (344 nucleotides) under Clostridioides difficile. Its description in RNAcentral is "partial 23S ribosomal RNA". It matches the Rfam family "Bacterial large subunit ribosomal RNA", at positions 2581 to 2925 of the family's 2925-position model. Lineage: Bacteria; Bacillati; Bacillota; Clostridia; Peptostreptococcales; Peptostreptococcaceae. The record is from RNAcentral.
UCGCCCAUUAAAGUGGUACGCGAGCUGGGUUCAGAACGUCGUGAGACAGUUCGGUCCCUAUCCGUCGCAGGCGUAGGAAAUUUGAGAAGACCUGUCCUUAGUACGAGAGGACCGGGAUGGACGUACCGCUGGUGUACCAGUUGUUCUGCCAAGGGCAUGGCUGGGUAGCUAUGUACGGAAUGGAUAAGCGCUGAAAGCAUCUAAGCGCGAAGCCAACUUCAAGAUAAGAUUUCCCACCGCAAGGGUAAGACCCCAGAAAGACUAUCUGGUUGAUAGGUCGAAGGUGUAAGUGCAGCAAUGUAUUUAGCUUAUCGAUACUAAUAGGUCGAGGACUUGAACAAAUU